Molecule: small nuclear RNA, 264 nt
Filed under: Echinops telfairi (small Madagascar hedgehog)
Lineage: Eukaryota; Metazoa; Chordata; Mammalia; Afrosoricida; Tenrecidae
Description: 7SK RNA (ENSETEG00000026447.1)
Rfam family: 7SK RNA
About the family: 7SK was discovered as an abundant small nuclear RNA in the mid-70s but a possible function has only recently been suggested. Two independent studies have found that 7SK RNA binds the CDK9/cyclin T complex (known as elongation factor P-TEFb). P-TEFb activates transcription by phosphorylating the C-terminal domain of RNA polymerase II.
Source: RNAcentral
GUGAAGAAAAUUAAAUCAUAAUUGAUCACCAGCGCUGAUUUGGCUGAUCUAGCUAGCUAGGCAGGUGUUUCUUACUACAUGUUUGUCCUUCCCGAAGCUGUGUGUUUGGCUGAAAAAGAUGACCUUCCCAGUAGGAAGAGAAUCAUCCUUAUUGUCAAGGGUGUCCGAGUAGCUUCCCUCUCCUGCUACAACUUCCAAAUACACUCUCAGUAAAAUGAAAACACACUCACAAGAGCCAAAACAUGACUGAGUGUAUCCCACCAG